CUGUGAUUUGCUGUAGAUCAUCACCUAAACAAAAAGCAUUGGUUACACGGUUGGUUAAAUCCGGAACUGGAAAGACAACCUUAGCAAUUGGCGAUGGAGCAAACGAUGUAGGAAUGCUUCAAGAAGCAGACAUUGGUGUUGGUAUUAGCGGUGUUGAAGGAAUGCAAGCAGUGAUGUCUAGUGAUAUCGCCAUUGCGCAAUUCCGAUAUCUAGAACGUUUAUUGUUAGUCCAUGGUCAUUGGUGUUACAGCAGAAUCGCAUCCAUGAUUUGUUACUUCUUUUACAAGAACAUCACAUUCGGAGUCACAGUGUUCUUAUAUGAAGCUUACACUUCCUU
Molecule: non-coding RNA, 337 nt
Organism: Camelina sativa (false flax)
Lineage: Eukaryota; Viridiplantae; Streptophyta; Magnoliopsida; Brassicales; Brassicaceae
Source: RefSeq, a predicted model, not a curated record